Molecule: ribosomal RNA, 572 nt
Filed under: uncultured bacterium
Lineage: Bacteria
Description: bacterial SSU rRNA
Rfam family: Bacterial small subunit ribosomal RNA
Source: RNAcentral
CCUACGGGAGGCAGCAGUAGGGAAUCUUCCGCAAUGGACGAAAGUCUGACGGAGCAACGCCGCGUGAACGAUGAAGGCCUUCGGGUCGUAAAGUUCUGUUGUCAGGGAAGAACAAGUAUCGGAGUAACUGCCGGUACCUUGACGGUACCUGACCAGAAAGCCACGGCUAACUACGUGCCAGCAGCCGCGGUAAUACGUAGGUGGCAAGCGUUGUCCGGAAUUAUUGGGCGUAAAGCGCGCGCAGGCGGUUCCUUAAGUCUGAUGUGAAAGCCCCCGGCUCAACCGGGGAGGGUCAUUGGAAACUGGGGAACUUGAGUGCAGAAGAGGAGAGCGGAAUUCCACGUGUAGCGGUGAAAUGCGUAGAGAUGUGGAGGAACACCAGUGGCGAAGGCGGCUCUCUGGUCUGUAACUGACGCUGAGGCGCGAAAGCGUGGGGAGCGAACAGGAUUAGAUACCCUGGUAGUCCACGCCGUAAACGAUGAGUGCUAAGUGUUAGAGGGUUUCCGCCCUUUAGUGCUGCAGCAAACGCAUUAAGCACUCCGCCUGGGGAGUACGGCCGCAAGGCUGAAACU